GGUUGUGGCUCAGUGGCAGAGCACUUGCCUAGCACGUGUGAGGUACUGGAUUCAAACCUCAGCAUCA
Molecule: transfer RNA, 67 nt
Filed under: Marmota monax (woodchuck)
Lineage: Eukaryota; Metazoa; Chordata; Mammalia; Rodentia; Sciuridae
Description: tRNA.Ala
Source: RNAcentral